GGCAAGAUGGCCGAGUUGGUCUAAGGCGUCAGGUUUAGGUCCACCUAAAUAAAUCAGCUUCCACAAGCUUCCUGAUCAUCUUUCGAUGGCGUGGGUUCGAAUCCCACUCUUGUCA
Molecule: transfer RNA, 115 nt
Organism: Aspergillus niger
Lineage: Eukaryota; Fungi; Ascomycota; Eurotiomycetes; Eurotiales; Aspergillaceae
Rfam family: tRNA
About the family: Transfer RNA (tRNA) molecules are approximately 80 nucleotides in length. Their secondary structure includes four short double-helical elements and three loops (D, anti-codon, and T loops). Further hydrogen bonds mediate the characteristic L-shaped molecular structure. tRNAs have two regions of fundamental functional importance: the anti-codon, which is responsible for specific mRNA codon recognition, and the 3' end, to which the tRNAs corresponding amino acid is attached (by aminoacyl-tRNA synthetases). tRNAs cope with the degeneracy of the genetic code in two manners: having more than one tRNA (with a specific anti-codon) for a particular amino acid; and 'wobble' base-pairing, i.e. permitting non-standard base-pairing at the 3rd anti-codon position.
Source: Rfam